Molecule: ribosomal RNA, 492 nt
Filed under: uncultured bacterium
Lineage: Bacteria
Description: partial 16S ribosomal RNA
Rfam family: Bacterial small subunit ribosomal RNA
Source: RNAcentral
AGUGAACGCUGGCGGCAGGCCUAACACAUGCAAGUCGAACGGCCGCACAGUAAGCGCUUGCUCUUACGGGUGGCGACUGGCGGACGGGUGAGGCAUACAUCGCAAUCUUCUUUUUCGUGGGUGAUUACGUAGGGCAACUUACGCUAACACCUCAUACUACCUACGGCUUAAAUCAAGGGAUCUUCGCACCUUUCCUGUCUGUAUUAGCCGAUGUCGGAUUAGCUAGUUGGCGGGGUAAAGGCACACCAAGGCGACGAUACGUAGCUGGUCUGAGAGGAUGAUCAGCCACACUGGAACUGAGACACGGUCCAGACUCCUACGGGAGGCAGCAGUGGGGAAUAUUGGACAAUGGGCGAAAGCCUGAUCCAGCCAUACUGCGUGAGUGAAGAAGGCCUUCGGGUCGUAAAGCCCUUUUGUUGGGAAAGAAAAGCAGCAGGUGAAUACCCCGAUGUUCUGACGGUACCCAAAGAAAAAGCACCGGCUAACUUCGUG